GCAUGCGCGAACGGUUCGGUCGAGACCGUUGCGGCCUCCAGCGCGGCAUAGUCGGGAAUAACGGGUUGGAUCAUGCCAUCCUGCAUGUU
RNAcentral lists this transfer RNA (89 nucleotides) under Komagataeibacter saccharivorans. RNAcentral describes it as "tRNA-Trp". The record is from RNAcentral. Lineage: Bacteria; Pseudomonadati; Pseudomonadota; Alphaproteobacteria; Acetobacterales; Acetobacteraceae.